GACGAACGCUGGCGGCGUGCCUAACACAUGCAAGUCGAACGGAAAGGCCCUGCUUUUGUGGGGUGCUCGAGUGGCGAACGGGUGAGUAACACGUGAGUAACCUGCCCUUGACUUUGGGAUAACUUCAGGAAACUGGGGCUAAUACCGGAUAGGAGCUCCUGCUGCAUGGUGGGGGUUGGAAAGUUUCGGCGGUUGGGGAUGGACUCGCGGCUUAUCAGCUUGUUGGUGGGGUAGUGGCUUACCAAGGCUUUGACGGGUAGCCGGCCUGAGAGGGUGACCGGCCACAUUGGGACUGAGAUACGGCCCAGACUCCUACGGGAGGCAGCAGUGGGGAAUAUUGCACAAUGGGCGGAAGCCUGAUGCAGCAACGCCGCGUGCGGGAUGACGGCCUUCGGUUUGUAAACCGCUUUCGCCUGUGACGAAGCGUGAGUGACGGUAAUGGGUAAAGAAGCACCGGCUAACUACGUG
RNAcentral lists this ribosomal RNA (468 nucleotides) under uncultured bacterium. RNAcentral's name for it is "partial 16S ribosomal RNA". It matches the Rfam family "Bacterial small subunit ribosomal RNA", at positions 28 to 507 of the family's 1533-position model. The record is from RNAcentral.